This 522-nucleotide ribosomal RNA is filed under the name uncultured bacterium. RNAcentral's name for it is "bacterial SSU rRNA". It matches the Rfam family "Archaeal small subunit ribosomal RNA", at positions 345 to 866 of the family's 1478-position model. The record is from RNAcentral.
AACCUCCGCAAUGUGAGAAAUCGCUACGGGGGGAUCCCAAGUGCCAUUCUUAACGGGAUGGCUUUUCAUUAGUGUAAAAAGCUUUUGGAAUAAGGGCUGGGCAAGACCGGUGCCAGCCGCCGCGGUAACACCGGCAGCUCUAGUGGUAGCAGUUUUUAUUGGGCCUAAAGCGUCCGUAGCCGGUUUAAUAAGUCUCUGGUGAAAUCCUGUAGCUUAACUGUGGGAAUUGCUGGAGAUACUAUUAGACUUGAGACCGGGAGAGGUUAGAGGUACUCCCAGGGUAGAGGUGAAAUUCUGUAAUCCUGGGAGGACCGCCUGUUGCGAAGGCGUCUAACUGGAACGGUUCUGACGGUGAGGGACGAAAGUUAGGGGCGCGAACCGGGAUUAGAUACCCGGGUAGUCCUAACUGUAAACGAUGCGGACUUGGUGUUGGGGUGGCUUUGAGCUGCUCCAGUGCCGAAGGGAAGCUGUUAAGUCCGCCGCCUGGGAAGUACGGUCGCAAGACUGAAACUUAAAGGAAUU